UACGUAGGGUGCGAGCGUUGUCCGGAAUUAUUGGGCGUAAAGAGCUUGUAGGCGGUUUGUCGCGUCUGCUGUGAAAGUCCGGGGCUCAACUCCGGAUCUGCGGUGGGUACGGGCAGACUAGAGUGAUGUAGGGGAGACUGGAAUUCCUGGUGUAGCGGUGAAAUGCGCAGAUAUCAGGAGGAACACCGAUGGCGAAGGCAGGUCUCUGGGCAUUAACUGACGCUGAGGAGCGAAAGCAUGGGGGAGCGAACAGG
This 254-nucleotide ribosomal RNA is filed under the name uncultured bacterium. RNAcentral describes it as "partial 16S ribosomal RNA". It matches the Rfam family "Bacterial small subunit ribosomal RNA", at positions 524 to 776 of the family's 1533-position model. The record is from RNAcentral.